Long non-coding RNA from Ornithodoros turicata, 353 nucleotides. RefSeq lists it as uncharacterized. The transcript is spliced from 3 exons. The record is from RefSeq and is a predicted model, not a curated record. NCBI's taxonomy places the organism in Eukaryota, Metazoa, Arthropoda, Arachnida, Ixodida, Argasidae.
AAGCAGUUUCUUUGUUACGGUGUCCAAGUGUGCAUAUCCGUCUGCAAAUGUUGAAGAAUUCAUUUUUGUGCAUGCUUGACGCAGCCACCUCGACGAAUGCUCCUCCCAUUCUCUGAUGAACAAGCCUUUGAACGCGCACUGCACCAAAGCAACGAAACGCGGGCUGACGCUUCAGAGACAAGUCCUCGCUGCUCGAAAAGCUCUAGAGUUAAUGCAAUUGAGUGGAAUCUGAAUGGAAUUGAAUCUACCAAAAUCAGUAAUAAUUAUCAGUGAAGAAUGGGUAGAGAUACCACUACCACCAGGUACCACUACCAGGUACCACUAAGGACCAUAAAUUGAAGAAGGGGGACAUU